CAAUUUCGGUCCCUGGAAUCCGAUUCCAGAAAAUUAUCCAUUUCCAAUGCGUCGUUUUCCCUACUCUCUGAAACCCUAGGCCGACCCGUGCCAGUUCGCCGGUGCCUGUGCCACAUAUCAAGCGCAACGUUAUCCAGAGAAUCGACCGGGCUCUGUUCCUUUAACGGACUAUCCGAGUCCUGAUCAAAAUCCCUAAACCCUUCGUCUCCAUCUUCUCUACUAUCUUCCUCAGCCCCUCCUUCCUCGACCUUCGAUAUCCAAUUAGAUCUCACUCUCUUCGUCGUCACUCUUUUCGCUUUUUUUACGGUGCCCAAACUCAAGAUUUACGUCACCGUUUUGAUUGUUUCCCUCUGGUUCUUGGAUUUCAUAGCUAUCAUUGCCGU
RNAcentral lists this unclassified non-coding RNA (383 nucleotides) under Hevea brasiliensis (rubber tree). Lineage: Eukaryota; Viridiplantae; Streptophyta; Magnoliopsida; Malpighiales; Euphorbiaceae. The record is from RNAcentral.